GGUAAUUAUAAUUUCCUCUCUAAAUGACCAUGUCCCUGAUGGUAAAAUGAAACAAAGGCCUCAUGUUGGUUGAGGUUAUUUAAUAUAUCUCUCUAAAGGUCACUGUCCCUUAUGGUAAAAUGAUGCCUUGUAUUGGUUGAGGUAAUUUAAAUUACCUCUCUAAUGGUCCCUGUCCCUGAUGGUAUAAUGAAACAAAUGCCUUGUUUUGGUCAAGGUAAUCAAAAUUACCUUUCUGAAUGUCCCUGUCCCUAAUGAUAAUGAGAUUGUC
This 268-nucleotide long non-coding RNA is filed under the name Capsella rubella. RNAcentral's name for it is "long non-coding RNA (CRUB_LNC000939)". The record is from RNAcentral. Lineage: Eukaryota; Viridiplantae; Streptophyta; Magnoliopsida; Brassicales; Brassicaceae.